GCCAAGUUGUAUGACGAGGUAAGCCUCAAAGUAGUCCCUGAAGUUACCCUCGAGUCUCAUAGUGAUCCCUGAAGUUAAAAAUUACUCAUAUUUAUCCCUGAAGUUGCACUCUGGGACUCAGACUCGUCCUUCCGGCC
This is a non-coding RNA of Arachis ipaensis, 137 nucleotides long. The record is from RefSeq and is a predicted model, not a curated record. NCBI's taxonomy places the organism in Eukaryota, Viridiplantae, Streptophyta, Magnoliopsida, Fabales, Fabaceae.